RNAcentral lists this ribosomal RNA (225 nucleotides) under uncultured bacterium. RNAcentral describes it as "partial 16S ribosomal RNA". It matches the Rfam family "Bacterial small subunit ribosomal RNA", at positions 118 to 345 of the family's 1533-position model. The record is from RNAcentral.
UGAGCAACCUGCCCUUGACUCUGGAAUAACAGCUGGAAACAGCUGCUAAUACCGGAUAUGACCUCCGAUGGCAUCAUCUGGAGGUGGAAAGCUCCGACGGUCAAGGAUGGGCUCGCGGCCUAUCAGCUUGUUGGUGGGUAAUGGCUCACCAAGGCGACGACGGGUAGCCGGCCUGAGAGGGUGACCGGCCACACUGGGACUGAGACACGGCCCAGAUCCUACGGG